Long non-coding RNA from Bos taurus (domestic cattle), 2825 nucleotides. The record is from Ensembl. NCBI's taxonomy places the organism in Eukaryota, Metazoa, Chordata, Mammalia, Artiodactyla, Bovidae.
CAAUCAUUCCCAUUCCCCAGGUGUGCACAAUCAUUCCAUUACUCCUUUAUGCUUCGGUACCAUUAAACCAAGGCAUAAACGAGUAACUCUUGGAGUCGAGAUGCUUUUAUGUCCAAAGUGAAAUUCUCAAGAGUUUGUGAGGCUCAUCCACCCUCGGGCCAGCUCAGGGAAGGAACCAGCAGGAACCCAAAGCCUCUGCCUUUUCCAGUCUCCAGGCCCCUGCUGCCACCACUGCCCCAGUCAAGGCCCUCAGCAUGCCCCAACUCAGAGGUGCACCCUCAUUCAUGCUACCCUUCCGAGACCUGCUUCCCCACCCCAGACUGGCUGAAGACCCCAUGGACUCCCGCCCAGCCAAGGGAGAGAGCUGAGAACACUCGACAAAGGGGCUUCAGUGAUGUCAUCUUUGACAGGUGGGAAACUGAUCAGAAACGCCAAAACAUUUGCCCAAACUGCUGACAGUAAGAGGUAACAGUUGGACCGGAGCCAUGCCUCUAAGACUACCAUUAAGGCACUGUCAGGCAGGUCUGUAUGAGGCCCGGUGCCCAAGGCACCCAAGAACUGCAGAGAAUCCUUUGAAAAUGUUUGAGACCCAGAUGCAUAAACACUUGGGCUCUAGAAUGCAAAAGGGGAACGCCAAGUCCAAAUGAACCCAUGUUUUAUUAUGUUUAAGAACAGGAUGUCAACUUUAUUGUGGUUAAAAUCCAUCCAUCUGGAAAGAGGCUUGGGUUGGGAAUGCUCUCCCUGAGAAGACCCCAAGCAGAUCGCCGGCAGUUGUCUACUUUAGAGAGCUGCCUGUGGCCAAUAGAUUUCCAAAGCAAAAUGAUAAAUUACAAGAAUAAUUAACCCGAUGCGCAUUUAGCACGUGGAGAGUCUGCUUCGAGUUGGGAGUGUUUUAACUCCUUUAAUCCCAACAUCGCCUCUACUGGGUGCGGCUGUUUUGAUACAGGUCCAUGCGAUGGGGAAACUGAGGCACAGGGAAGUCAAAGAGCUGAGGAGGGACACAGCUGGGGUUUGAACCUCACCAGACCCCCUCAUGUGGUCGGCACUCUUGACCCCUGUGCUGUCUUCAGCCUUGUGUUUCACGGCAGAGUCUUCAGUGGAAUUGGAGAUGCGGAUACCAUGGUGACCGUUUGAUUUUGAAAGGGUAUGGAUGUCGGGCACGGCGCAGUUUGGGGUUCCAGAUCUGGACGAUGGUGGGAAGCUAGGUCAGGACUCCUCUAUGUCCCCUCCAAUCCCCGUUCUCCUCCCCGGACUGCAAGCCACCCAAGGCAGGUCGCCUCCCGCCCUGGACCUGGCUGCCAGACAGGAUGCAGCCCCGCCCCUGACCACGCCCUGGUGGCCGGCUCUGAUUGGAUCCGGGUGGGUGUAACCCCUAGAGCAGUACUUCAUACAACAGCUGGUAGCGAAUUAGAGGACGUACUUCGAAAGAUCGGCCUGCAAGGCUCUUCUUGCGCGGCAGCAAGUUGUUUAGAAGCUAAGGCUGGGGCUCAGAAAACAUUGUCUCCCCGUUGCCCAGUAGCAUACAGAGGGAGCUCAAGCAAUCGAUAUAUGUUGGACUUCCCUGGUGGACCAGUGGUUAAGAAUCCGCUUGCCAAUGCAGGGGACACGGGUUUGAUCCCUGGUCUGGGAAGAUUCCACAUGCCAGCAGAGCAACCAAGCCCAGUGCACCUCAACUACUGAAGCCUGAGGGAUCUCGAGCCCGCGUUUCUGCAGCUACUGAAGCCUGUGGUGCCCUAGAAUCUGUGCUCCUCAACAAGACAAGCCAAAGCAAUGACAAGCUGGCUAGACUAGAGACUAGAGAGUAGCUCCAUUUUCACAGCUAAAGAAAGGCUGCGUGCAGCAACAAAGAUCCCGUGCAGCUGAAGAUAAGUAAAAUUUAAAAAGAAAUAAAUAUCGACUGGUAUAAUUAAUGAAUUAAUCUGGUAGCAGAGAUUUGGGAGCUCUCCACCCUUGUGAAACAGAAACAGGCCCUGUGGGGCCUUCCCAGUGACAGACAUCUGUGUUCCCCACUUCUUGCUUGUAGAAAAAGCUUUUAGCCUCUUAGGCCUUAUCUGAGAGCAGACUCAGCAAUUGAUGAUUGGAGAAGUGGGAAAUCAGGGACAAAAAUGAAGCAGUCAAGCGGGAAAGUAAUAGCAAAUUAAAUAAUAGGUCCACCAGAAAAAAGAGUCACAAAACCCCUAGCUUCUCCUUGAGGUUACCCCUCUAUGGAGAGCCUUCUGACACAUAUUCUUAUGCUGUUUUGGCAGAAACCAGGACCCUACCAGAUGGAAACUGCUGACCUCAAACAUAUAGAGCCUAAACUGGUUGGAGGCAGAAGAUUGAUCACUCUGUUAACUCACCACCAACCAAUCAGAAAAAUGUCCAUGACAUGGUCAUACACCCUGUGACCCUCACCCCUAAUGCUGCUUUGAAAAACCCUUUCCUGGAAGCCAUCAGAGGUCGGACAUCUUUGGCACUUUGGCUACCUUCUCUUCUUGCUUGGCACUGUUCAAAGGCAAGAAUACUGGAAUGGGUUGCCAUUUUCUUCCUCUAGAGGAUAUUCCCGACCCUGGGAUUGAACCUCCAUCUCCUGUGAUUCCUGCAUUGCAGGCAGAUUCUUUAUCUGCUGAGCCAUCAGGGAAGCCCCUAAAAUGCACCUGAUCCCUCUGGUAACUGAUGACCUGAAAAGAGGCAUGGAGCUGGGCAUGGACAAAAGCAGGAGAGCAGUGACUGGAGUCUGUUGCCUGGGAUUUCAGAAAUGGUCCCCAGACGCUUCUUUCAUCUCUUGGGAGAUGCUCCCCCCACUCUUCACAUUAGGGUCUCCAGACUGAGAGACACUCUGGGAC